Molecule: ribosomal RNA, 407 nt
Filed under: uncultured bacterium
Lineage: Bacteria
Description: partial 16S ribosomal RNA
Rfam family: Bacterial small subunit ribosomal RNA
Source: RNAcentral
AUUGAACGCUGGCGGCAGGCCUAACACAUGCAAGUCGAGCGGAGCGGCGGACGCGUGCGUAAUGCCUAGGAAUCUGCCUGGUAGUGUGGGAUAACGUCCCGAAACGGGCGCUAAUACCGCAUACUAUACGAUGAGCCUAGGUCGGAUUCGGUAGUUGGUGGGGUAAUGGCCUACCAGGGCGACGAUCCGUAACUGGCCUGAGAGGAUGAUCAGUCAAACUGGAAUGGGGCCACGGUCAGGACGCCUACGGGAGGCGGAAGUGGGGAAUAUUGGACAAUGGGCGAAAGCCUGAUCAAGCCAUGCCGCGUGUGUGAAGAAGGUCUUCGGAUUGUAAAGCACGUUAAGUUGGGAGGCGGUACCAACAGAAUAAGCACCGGCUAACUUCGUGCCAGCAGCCGCGGUAAUUC